GCUCUGGUGGAUUAGUGGCGAACGGGUGAGUAACACGUGAGUAACCUGCCCUUGACUCUGGAAUAAGCGUUGGAAACGACGUCUAAUACCGGAUACGAGCUUCCGCCGCAUGGUGAGGAGCUGGAAAGAAUUUCGGUCAAGGAUGGACUCGCGGCCUAUCAGGUAGUUGGUGAGGUAAUGGCUCACCAAGCCUACGACGGGUAGCCGGCCUGAGAGGGUGACCGGCCACACUGGAACUGAGACACGGUCCAGACUCCUACGGGAGGCAGCAGUGGGGAAUAUUGCACAAUGGGCGCAAGCCUGAUGCAGCAACGCCGCGUGAGGGACGACGGCCUUCGGGUUGUAAACCUCUUUUAGUAGGGAAGAAGCGAAAGUGACGGUACCUGCAGAAAAAGCACCGGCUAACUACGUGCCAGCAGCCGCGGUAAUACGUAGGGUGCAAGCGUUAUCCGGAAUUAUUGGGCGUAAAGAGCUCGUAGGCGGUUUGUCGCGUCUGCUGUGAAAACUGGGGGCUCAACCCCCAGCCUGCAGUGGGUACGGGCAGACUAGAGUGCGGUAGGGGAGAUUGGAAUUCCUGGUGUAGCGGUGGAAUGCGCAGAUAUCAGGAGGAACACCGAUGGCGAAGGCAGAUCUCUGGGCCGUAACUGACGCUGAGGAGCGAAAGCAUGGGGAGCGAACAGGAUUAGAUACCCUGGUAGUCCAUGCCGUAAACGUUGGGAACUAGAUGUAGGGGCCAUUCCACGGUUUCUGUGUCGCAGCUAACGCAUUAAGUUCCCCGCCUGGGGAGUACGGCCGCAAGGCUAAAACUCAAAGGAAUUGACGGGGGCCCGCACAAGCGGCGGAGCAUGCGGAUUAAUUCGAUGCAACGCGAAGAACCUUACCAAGACUUGACAUAUAC
Molecule: ribosomal RNA, 898 nt
Filed under: bacterium W13M51c
Lineage: Bacteria
Description: bacterial SSU rRNA
Rfam family: Bacterial small subunit ribosomal RNA
Source: RNAcentral